Molecule: long non-coding RNA, 329 nt
Filed under: Erythranthe guttata (spotted monkey flower)
Lineage: Eukaryota; Viridiplantae; Streptophyta; Magnoliopsida; Lamiales; Phrymaceae
Description: long non-coding RNA (EGUT_LNC001452)
Source: RNAcentral
AUUAAAGUGCCAUUUCCGCACGCAGAGCAGCAAGUUCAUCUUCCUCUUGCGUUUGUUUCUGAGGGCGAUUAGGUAAUUUGGCACUCGGAGCAUGCACUGAAGAAGUAGGGGCUGUCGUCGAUGGCUGGAGAAGUUGUUCUUCCAGUUCUGCACCUUCCAAUUCUUCGAGCUCAGCCUCCAAUUCAUCCUGUAGUAACCCCAAAAUAAAUAAAUCAAUAAAUUAAUAAAUAAAUAAAAAUCAGAUGAAUCAAUUUUGAAAACAUUGAUGCAAAUAAUUUCAGAUGCACAAUAAAUAUAGUCAAGACAAGAACCUCGUCAAAGUCAGCCGC